GGUUUCAGCGGCCGAAGGAACCCUGCGAUAAAAUCGGAACGAUACAGAAAAGACUAGCAUGGCCCCUGCGCAAGGAUGACCUGCACACAUCGAGAGGUGUGCUAAGGUUAG
Molecule: small nuclear RNA, 111 nt
Filed under: Symbiodinium microadriaticum
Lineage: Eukaryota; Dinophyceae; Suessiales; Symbiodiniaceae
Source: RNAcentral